This is a long non-coding RNA of Oncorhynchus kisutch (coho salmon), 890 nucleotides long. RefSeq lists it as uncharacterized. The transcript is spliced from 3 exons. Lineage: Eukaryota; Metazoa; Chordata; Actinopteri; Salmoniformes; Salmonidae. The record is from RefSeq and is a predicted model, not a curated record.
ACCAGAGCUGGCCACUGUGGUUAGGGGGUAAUGCAAUGUUAAAGAAGAGAGAAUUCUGAAAGGAUAAUAAAACAUUAUAAGGUACACCUGAUAGCACCUGUCCAUCACUGCAGCCUCCAGCUCUCCCAUGAUCUCCGCCACCACCUCCUCCCCGUUGUCCUGUGUUGUCAUGGUGACCCAGGCGGCUUCCGUGAGGAGACCUGGGACAAUGUCCACUGUCUCCACAUUCUGGACCGAGGCAGGGCUAGGAAGAGCAGGUGCCAGAACCAAGCUGGCAGCACGACUCUUGUCGCGAGAUUUGGCCGCUGAGCGUGACAUGAUUCCGAGAUGUUUUCUGCAGAUGAACAUUGAUAUUUAUCAAUUUGAUACAUACCGGAAAAGAUGAAGCAGAGGAGUCUCUAAAUCACAGUGACAUCACACUGUAGAGCUGUAGAACACCUUGACCAGGGGUGCUGAAGAAGCUCCAUCCCUCCAGAUGGUCAUAUGGCAUCUUGGAAGCCGUAGCUACGUAGAGUUAAUAGGUAAUAGAUUUUCACAAUGCACUGUCUAAUCUCGUCAUCCAAUCAGUAUUAAUCUAUGGUUUUAAAUCACACUAUAUUAGAGAGGUAAUUUGAAUUUACUAUAUUAGUUUUGCUAUUCAAGUCCCUAUCCUAAUUCUGUGGUCUGCCUUGCCUCUGCCCUGUGGGUACUACUGGCCAGCCUGCUACUGUAUGUGAGGCUAGUGGUGCAGACUAGAGCACCCAAGUUUUGUUUAUCUCUUGUAUUUUCUUGUUUGUCGGCCAGUGCAAUGUAUUCACUAUAAUUCAGGUAUUCCUUUUCUUAUUUGAUUCUAAAUACUGCAAAACUAUGUUUGAAACAAAGCUGAAGUUAUACAUAUAGAAAUUAUGCAU